GGAGGAGUGCCCGAGUGGUCAAAGGGAGCAGACUGUAAAUCUGCCGGCGUAAGCCUACAGAGGUUCAAAUCCUUUCUCCUCCACCA
Molecule: transfer RNA, 86 nt
Filed under: Actinomycetes bacterium
Lineage: Bacteria; Bacillati; Actinomycetota; Actinomycetes
Description: tRNA-Tyr
Rfam family: tRNA
About the family: Transfer RNA (tRNA) molecules are approximately 80 nucleotides in length. Their secondary structure includes four short double-helical elements and three loops (D, anti-codon, and T loops).
Source: RNAcentral